Molecule: long non-coding RNA, 388 nt
Organism: Mercurialis annua (annual mercury)
Lineage: Eukaryota; Viridiplantae; Streptophyta; Magnoliopsida; Malpighiales; Euphorbiaceae
Exons: 3
Source: RefSeq, a predicted model, not a curated record
GGCCUGUUUUGACUCUAGCGAUUUGCCUAUUUCCUGUCUAUCCUCAUUCGUGCAAGCUAUUGAUUCUCUACUCAUGUGCUGGAGUGCUUCUUCUAAUUCUCUCCCUGCUUCUAGUUUGUGCCAGCAUCUUGUGUAUUUGGUUCGUCAUGGUCUAAUUGGCAACAAAUAUUUGCACAUUCUAAAUGGAAAUUAUUGGAAUGAAAGAAAUGAAAUCAAGAUGGACGUUUUCCUAGCUAUAUCAAAAGUUAGGCUUAGUUCAGUUUUUUAGCGAAUAUUUUAAAUGUUUGCAUACAAUUGGUUAUUUUAGUAUUAUUGAAGAUUUAUUCAUUUAUAAUUUUAUGUAAUAUUUGAAUUGAUUUAGUUUUUUAUUCAUUGAUUUUAGCAACAA